CUGUCCCCUUCCCCAGUACGUCUCCUAAUAAUGAGCCUAUUCUGUCUGGCCUUGUAACUCCCAACUCGACAACAGGGGUCCAUUCCUCUUGCUAGCCCUGCCGGACCAGCACUCUGAAGGAGAAAACAGAAGAGAUUAAAGCAGAGGAAAAAGGGGGUUCUGUUCAUUCUUAAACCUGGUAGUCCGUGUGUCAUCUGAGGAUGGUGUUGCUGUGUGUGGUCGUGGCCCUUUCCUUGGUGCUCCUUGGUCCCUGCCCUGGUUUCAGUGCCCCUCAGGGGAGCCCGGAGCCUGCCGAACAGCCAUACGACCUGGAGGACUUUGAUCUGAAUGGAGAGACAGAGUGGGAAAACCUGGACCUCAAUGGAGAAAACUAUGCAGAAAACUAUGACUAUGACGACUUAGACCAAGAGAUUGAGGUUGGGACAGUUGCAUCCCCGAUCUCCGAGAUUUCUCCUCCUGCCAAUGUGCCCCCUCCUGGGGAGAUGGAGGUCACCCCACCACCAAAGCCAACUCCUCAAUCCGCUACCAUAACUCUGAACUUCAAAGCACCGGGGCUCUUUGGACCAGAGACGGGCAUGGGUAUGCCCACGUGUUUGCUGUGUGUGUGCAUCAGUGGAAGUGUGUAUUGUGACGACGCUGACCUGGAGCAGAUUCCCCCUCUGCCAAAAGACACUACACAUUUCUAUGGACGUUUCAACAAGAUUCGACAUGUGAAGAACACUGACUUCAUCAACCUCAGCAAGCUGAAGCGUAUUGACCUGACAGGGAACCAGAUCUCUGGGCUGGAUGAGGAUGCAUUUCGACCCCUGCCUCAGCUCCAGGACAUUAUACUGGCGGACAACAACCUGCAGGCGUUACCAGAACUCCCAUCCACCAUGAAGUACAUUGACGUGCGCAACAACAGACUGAUCAGCCGUGGAAUACACCCAGACGCUUUCAAGGAGAUGAACCAACUGGAGUUCCUUUAUCUUUCUGAUAACAAGCUGGCCUACAUUCCCAUUCCACUGCCUGAGAGCCUCAGAGUACUACACCUUCAGAACAACAACAUCCAAACUCUCCACGUGGACACGUUCUGCAACAGCCGCGACCGUAACUACAUACGAGGACAAUUAGAGGACAUUCGGUUGGAUGGAAAUCCUGUGAACCUCAACCUGUACGCCUCCUCCUACAUCUGCCUGAGACGACUGCCUGUUGGGGGCCACUGAGGCAGGCACUAAAGGAGCAUGGAGAAGGCAUAGAGGAGGUCUGCGACAGGGAAUAGGGAGGAAGAGGUCUGCCUGUCUGACUGCUUCGUGUCUCCCCUGAAAAUGUGCCUCCUCGUUCUCAAUGACAUCAUGUCCCAGGAUGAUGAUGAUAACAGCAGCUGGGAUUCUGUGAGCCUGUUCGUCCAUCAAUAAAAUCAAGCAAUGAAUCA
Esox lucius (northern pike) is the source of this 1414-nucleotide RNA transcript. It is a transcript of the gene named opticin, with no coding region annotated. The record is from RefSeq and is a predicted model, not a curated record. Lineage: Eukaryota; Metazoa; Chordata; Actinopteri; Esociformes; Esocidae. The transcript is spliced from 8 exons.